Long non-coding RNA from Lycium barbarum (goji berry), 615 nucleotides. RefSeq lists it as uncharacterized. The transcript has 3 exons. The record is from RefSeq and is a predicted model, not a curated record. NCBI's taxonomy places the organism in Eukaryota, Viridiplantae, Streptophyta, Magnoliopsida, Solanales, Solanaceae.
AUAUGACUAAGAGGUCAUUGUAUAACAUUUUUGGGGAUCUUUAUCUGUGUUCAACAAAAUGCUUUGUAUAACAUUAUGGAGCAGCAACAUAGCUCCUUUUUUCAACCAGCAGCAACGGCUUCCUCUUCUACCAACAGGUGUAUACUCCCUCUCACGAAGAAGCAUAGCGGUUGUUGCUCUCUAUUUCGAUCUCAUUAUUUUGUUUGUCGUGUUGUUAAAUUUAGAUUUUCUUCAAGGUGAAGUAAGGUGCAAGAAGAGUAGUUCUUGGCAUAUAAGAUUGGUGAAGCCCGAGACCUAAGUUAUGGUUAAAUUGGGAAGCGACAAGUCCCAGAUUAUUUUGCAAGUAAAAGUAUUCAGCUAGGAUGGUUGGCUAUUAGCUGGGAUUGGCAAACUCCAUUUUCCUCCUGGAGCAGUGCCGAGUCAUUAUGGUUAUCAUAUGUGUGUAUGGGUACGUCGGGGCCCUGUCCCGACUCAUAUGAUUCAGGUGUUUACUCUUAGAGACUUUGCAGACAGUGUCCUGUGGUUAGUACGUUAAUAUGUCAUGUGUUGAGUGAAGCGACCAUGUAGGCCGAUAUGUCAGUUUGACUUACUCGGUUUUUGAUUAAUUGAGUAUCG